RNAcentral lists this transfer RNA (72 nucleotides) under Pangasianodon gigas (Mekong giant catfish). Its description in RNAcentral is "tRNA-Glu". It matches the Rfam family "tRNA". Rfam says of the family: Transfer RNA (tRNA) molecules are approximately 80 nucleotides in length. Their secondary structure includes four short double-helical elements and three loops (D, anti-codon, and T loops). The record is from RNAcentral. Lineage: Eukaryota; Metazoa; Chordata; Actinopteri; Siluriformes; Pangasiidae.
UCCCUGGAGGACUAGUGCUUAGGCCAUGGCAUUCUCACUGCCGUGGCCCGUGUUCGAUUCCUGGCCAGGGAA